GUGGGCUUCAAAUUCCUGUAAUCCUCCAAAAAUCUUUGGAUCCUGAUUUGAUUUUCUUUUUCAAGUUUAUCAUACCUGUAGAGACGGUAGAGUGCACAAACCGCUAGUGCUAAAAGAAAAGAACCUACGAUGGAACCUGCAUUCACUAACGUUGAUUUUUUAUCUGUAAAAGAUUUAACAAUAUUAGCAUCUCAUUAAGCCGAAUA
Juglans microcarpa x Juglans regia is the source of this 206-nucleotide long non-coding RNA. RefSeq lists it as uncharacterized. NCBI's taxonomy places the organism in Eukaryota, Viridiplantae, Streptophyta, Magnoliopsida, Fagales, Juglandaceae. The record is from RefSeq and is a predicted model, not a curated record. The transcript has 2 exons.